This 1127-nucleotide ribosomal RNA is filed under the name Mammaliicoccus sciuri. RNAcentral describes it as "bacterial SSU rRNA". It matches the Rfam family "Bacterial small subunit ribosomal RNA", at positions 1 to 1082 of the family's 1533-position model. Lineage: Bacteria; Bacillati; Bacillota; Bacilli; Caryophanales; Staphylococcaceae. The record is from RNAcentral.
AGACCUUAGAGUUUGGAUCCUGGCUCAGGGAUUAAUCGCCGGCGGCGUGCAUAAAUACAUUGCAUGUCGAGCGGAACAGAUGAGAAGCUUGGUUUCUCUGAUGUUAGCGGCGGACGGGGGAAGUAACACGUGGGUAACCUACCUAUAAGACUGGGGACAAACUCCGGGCAAACCGGGGCUAAUACCGGAUAAUAUUUUGAACCGCAUGGUUCAAUAGUGAAAGACGGUUUCCGGCUGUCACUUAUAGAUGGACCCGCGCCGUAUUAGCUUAGUUGGUAAGGUAACGGCUCACCCAAGGCGACGAUACGUAGCCGACGUGAGAGGGUGAUCGGCCACACUGGAACUGAGACACGGUCCAGACUCCUACGGGAGGCAGCAGUAGGGAAUCUUCCGCAAUGGGCGAAAGCCUGACGGAGCAACGCCGCGUGAGUGAUGAAGGUCUUCGGAUCGUAAAACUCUGUUGUUAGGGAAGAACAAAUUUGUUAGUAACUGAACAAGUCUUGACGGUACCUAACCAGAAAGCCACGGCUAACUACGUGCCAGCAGCCGCGGUAAUACGUAGGUGGCAAGCGUUAUCCGGAAUUAUUGGGCGUAAAGCGCGCGUAGGCGGUUUCUUAAGUCUGAUGUGAAAGCCCACGGCUCAACCGUGGAGGGUCAUUGGAAACUGGGAAACUUGAGUGCAGAAGAGGAGAGUGGAAUUCCAUGUGUAGCGGUGAAAUGCGCAGAGAUAUGGAGGAACACCAGGGUGGGGAAGGGCCGGCUCUCUGGGGGUCUGUAACCUGACGCUGAUGUGCGAAAGCGUGGGGAUCAAACAGGAUUAGAUAACCCUGGUGGUCCCCCGCCGUAAACGAUGAGUGCUAAGUGUUAGCGGGGUUUCCGCCCCUUAGUGCUGCAGCUAACGCAUUAAGCCCUCCGCGUGGGGAGUACGACGGCGAGGUUGAAACUCAAAGGAAUUGGCGGGGACCCGCGCAAGCGGUGGAGUAUGUGUUUUAAUUGGAAGCAACGCGAAGAACCUUACCGGAUCUUGACAUCCUUUGACCGCUCUAGAGAUAGAGUCUUCCCCUUCGGGGAGAAAGUGACAGGUGGUGCAUGGUUGUCCUCCCUCGUGGCGGGAGAUUGUUUGGUUA